This 442-nucleotide ribosomal RNA is filed under the name uncultured bacterium. RNAcentral's name for it is "partial 16S ribosomal RNA". It matches the Rfam family "Bacterial small subunit ribosomal RNA", at positions 338 to 795 of the family's 1533-position model. The record is from RNAcentral.
CCUACGGGAGGCAGCAGUGGGGGAUAUUGCACAAUGGGGGAAACCCUGAUGCAGCGACGCCGCGUGGACGAAGAAGUAUUUCGGUAUGUAAAGUUCUAUCAGCAGGGAAGAAGAAAUGACGGUACCUGACUAAGAAGCCCCGGCUAACUACGUGCCAGCAGCCGCGGCAAUACGUAGGGGGCAAGCGUUAUCCGGAUUUACUGGGUGUAAAGGGAGCGCAGGCGGCAGCGCAAGUCUGAUGUGAAAUCCCGGGGCCCAACCGCGGGACUGCAUUGGAAACUGCGCAGCUGGAGUGCAGGAGGGGUAAGCGGAAUGCCUGGUGUAGCGGUGAAAUGCGUAGAUAUUAGGAGGAACACCAGUGGCGAAGGCGGCUUACUGGACGGCAACUGACGCUGAGGCUCGAAAGCGUGGGGAGCAAACAGGAUUAGAUACCCGGGUAGUC